AGAGUUUGAUCAUGGCUCAGAUUGAACGCUGGCGGCAGGCCUAACACAUGCAAGUCGAACGGUAACAGGAAGCAGCUUGCUGCUUUGCUGACGAGUGGCGGACGGGUGAGUAAUGUCUGGGAAACUGCCUGAUGGAGGGGGAUAACUACUGGAAACGGUAGCUAAUACCGCAUAACGUCGCAAGACCAAAGAGGGGGACCUUCGGGCCUCUUGCCAUCGGAUGUGCCCAGAUGGGAUUAGCUAGUAGGUGGGGUAACGGCUCACCUAGGCGACGAUCCCUAGCUGGUCUGAGAGGAUGACCAGCCACACUGGAACUGAGACACGGUCCAGACUCCUACGGGAGGCAGCAGUGGGGAAUAUUGCACAAUGGGCGCAAGCCUGAUGCAGCCAUGCCGCGUGUAUGAAGAAGGCCUUCGGGUUGUAAAGUACUUUCAGCGGGGAGGAAGGGAGUAAAGUUAAUACCUUUGCUCAUUGACGUUACCCGCAGAAGAAGCACCGGCUAACUCCGUGCCAGCAGCCGCGGUAAUACGGAGGGUGCAAGCGUUAAUCGGAAUUACUGGGCGUAAAGCGCACGCAGGCGGUUUGUUAAGUCAGAUGUGAAAUCCCCGGGCUCAACCUGGGAACUGCAUCUGAUACUGGCAAGCUUGAGUCUCGUAGAGGGGGGUAGAAUUCCAGGUGUAGCGGUGAAAUGCGUAGAGAUCUGGAGGAAUACCGGUGGCGAAGGCGGCCCCCUGGACGAAGACUGACGCUCAGGUGCGAAAGCGUGGGGAGCAAACAGGAUUAGAUACCCUGGUAGUCCACGCCGUAAACGAUGUCGACUUGGAGGUUGUGCCCUUGAGGCGUGGCUUCCGGAGCUAACGUGUUAAGUCGACCGCCUGGGGAGUACGGCCGCAAGGUUAAAACUCAAAUGAAUUGACGGGGGCCCGCACAAGCGGUGGAGCAUGUGGUUUAAUUCGAUGCAACGCGAAGAACCUUACCUGGUCUUGACAUCCACGGAAGUUUUCAGAGAUGAGAAUGUGCCUUCGGGAACCGUGAGACAGGUGCUGCAUGGCUGUCGUCAGCUCGUGUUGUGAAAUGUUGGGUUAAGUCCCGCAACGAGCGCAACCCUUAUCCUUUGUUGCCAGCGGUCCGGCCGGGAACUCAAAGGAGACUGCCAGUGAUAAACUGGAGGAAGGUGGGGAUGACGUCAAGUCAUCAUGGCCCUUACGACCAGGGCUACACACGUGCUACAAUGGCGCAUACAAAGAGAAGCGACCUCGCGAGAGCAAGCGGACCUCAUAAAGUGCGUCGUAGUCCGGAUUGGAGUCUGCAACUCGACUCCAUGAAGUCGGAAUCGCUAGUAAUCGUGGAUCAGAAUGCCACGGUGAAUACGUUCCCGGGCCUUGUACACACCGCCCGUCACACCAUGGGAGUGGGUUGCAAAAGAAGUAGGUAGCUUAACCUUCGGGAGGGCGCUUACCACUUUGUGAUUCAUGACUGGGGUGAAGUCGUAACAAGGUAACCGUAGGGGAACCUGCGGUUG
Molecule: ribosomal RNA, 1522 nt
Filed under: Escherichia coli
Lineage: Bacteria; Pseudomonadati; Pseudomonadota; Gammaproteobacteria; Enterobacterales; Enterobacteriaceae
Also listed under: 1 other name
Description: bacterial SSU rRNA
Rfam family: Bacterial small subunit ribosomal RNA
Source: RNAcentral